Molecule: long non-coding RNA, 416 nt
Organism: Raphanus sativus (radish)
Lineage: Eukaryota; Viridiplantae; Streptophyta; Magnoliopsida; Brassicales; Brassicaceae
Exons: 3
Source: RefSeq, a predicted model, not a curated record
ACAAGACACCAUGACGAGCGACAUGCGACGUCUCCGGCUAUUCCGCCUCCGCAUGAGCAUAACUCAGGGAUGCAGAAUACAAUGAACUACGAUUUCAAUUCGUCGUAACUCCCUCCUAUAAUGAAUGUAUAUGAGGAGAGAACAAUAAUAGAUGGUGAAACCAUUAUGUCAAGCAAGUGGCCUUGCACGUGUUUCUAUGCAGACUCGUGCCUUGAUCAAGAAGAUGAAGAAGAAGAGAGUAAAGAUUCAGCUACUGCUGAGAUAACAACCUAUGGUAGACUCUCCAAUUGAGAUAUUGUGACGGAGAAGAAUUGUUGAUGUAAGCAAGGAACCUUACUUAACAAUGUUAAGUUGAUUUGCUUCAUAGACAAGGCCAUCUAAUGUUAUUAGUACAAGUGGAACCAUCAAAUAGGAAC